RNAcentral lists this long non-coding RNA (2178 nucleotides) under Lytechinus variegatus (green sea urchin). RNAcentral's name for it is "uncharacterized LOC121419066". The record is from RNAcentral. Lineage: Eukaryota; Metazoa; Echinodermata; Echinoidea; Temnopleuroida; Toxopneustidae.
UCCGCGAACUCAAAUGUAAAUAAUUGUUUUCCAUUCAUUGAUUUGCAAGCACCAAUCUCAUACCGUCCACACGUUAUCUCGUGUAUUGUCUUGCAUUCAGCGGCCUUUUACAUCAUCUCCAUCACCACCAUGCCCGAUCUAGGAGACAUCAAGCCUAAAGGACCAAGCAAAUGCAAGCUGUGCUUUCUAAGAUGCUGCUUCUGCUGUGUUCCUAGACCAUCGGUUCCAGGAAAGAAAAAGAAAUGCGGUUGCUGCUGAUAGAAGUGAGAUGUACCAAUGUAAAUAAAGGGAGAGAGGCGUAUAUAAUAUCACAGCGGGAUUACACAUGAGCUAAUCUCUCACACCGGAACCAUCAUCGCAACAUAUGCAUGGCUUGGCAAACUCGUGAUUCACGCCAUGUCAUCAGCAUUCAUCCACCCUCGGACCUGGGGCGAUGUGCCUAGAUAUUGUAAACAGCAAAUUGCGAUGUUAUAAUGUAAUAGAAAGUUCAUGUAUUGGCCCUAUAUUGUAUUGUUGAUGCCUUAUGAAAUGAAUUAAAUUUAUUUUGGGCUUGGUCGAUUGUGUGAAAUUCUCUGGAUGCACUUCUAAAUCAAAUAGUGUCUUGUUAUCAAAGAAUCAUGAAGACAUACAUUAAUUCUGUUCGUUCAAAUUAUUCCCUUUUUUCUGAACUAUCAAGGUAAUAAAGUCUGCAAUUCCUAAAUAGUAGUCAAGAAAGGCGUCAGUGUACGAAGGGGGGGGGGGGGAUAACGAUAAACCAAUCGCGAUUGGAUUAUUUCAUUGUUAAGUUCUCAAUUAAGUCGAUUCUUUUACCCCCUUUUAUUCUCUACCAGGCUUGUAAAAUCAAAGGGGGGCCCCUAUCCCCCAUAUAGCCUUUCCGCACAAUCUCGGAAACAGUGAGUGUAAGUGUUAUACCCAUGCAGGGAGGUAACAGUUUGCCAAAAUUAAUAAAUUAAUAAUUGUCUGUGAGGUUGUGAAUCCCAUCCAAGUUUUAGACAACCUAUUAUUCAUAAGUUUGUUAUAGUUAAUUUGUUUGGCAGCAACCGUUGUGAAUAGCAUGAUCUGUAAAGAUCACAAAGAGAGACGCUAAGAGGGGCACCGGUUCACUCUGGUCGUUCACUUAAUACAUCCGCUCGAUUAAUAGAAAACAUUGACGUUGUGUUAUGUAAAAACGAUAUAAUGUUCAUAACAAUCAACUCACAAUUGGAAUUGUAUAUCAUCGCAGAUUUUGUUUUGCUGAUGGCAAUCACAGAUGAACCUCCGCAUGCUCGCCUGAGGAAUUAGGCCUGCAAUAUAGUACUCGCACAUAAUAUUCGGGCAUAAUCAUAUUUGAUUUGUUGUUGAUUUUCUCACAUUGAUAGAAUACGCUGCAUUAAUGAAGAGUAAAGAGCGGUAUAAAUUCAUUUUUGCUUAGGGACUCUGAGUAGAUGCAUAUACAAAAUCACGUACACUUUACUCCCUUUAGUGUGAAAAAACUGAGCCCCCACCCACAUCUCUUAAAAUAGGAUUUCACAAGUCGUGCACCAUUCGGUGUCUAUAGAUCGUUUUCCUCAAUUAGCAGGCUCAUUCCAAUCAACAAUCUGACCUUGUUAGCUAUAGACAACGUGACUGUAUAAGUUCCGGAAACUAGGAGGCCCUUUGAACUUUUGGAUGCGAGAAUACUUCUGCUUCCAAUUUUAAAUACGCAUUGUACACAUCGAGGCACAAUUUCAUGCGUUUCUUAUUGAUCAACGAAAUACUUGCAAAAAAAAGGUCAAAUUUUAGCUAUAGAAAACGGGUAUUUUAUUUGUAUGUUUAACUGUGAGAUUAUUCUAAAGUGACUUAUUUUUAAGUGAUUGUUAUACUUAAUCAAUUGCCUUGUACUUUGUAUGUUAUCUCUGAAAACUUAUUUUUAUAAUUUCGUUUACCCUACAGAAAAACAUAUCUUAGUAAGGUAAUCCCUUGUUUACCAUCAAUAUUCAUACCCACCUGCGAGAUAUUUUUUAUUUACCCAUCUUUUUGACAUUAUGGCAUUCAUUAACGUUAUUCGUUUUGUCAUUAUUCUGUUUUUACUACUACUUGUACUUUAUAUUGUAGUUUCAUGAACGUCAUUGAUAUCAUUCGACUCUCAGUGAAAUAUUAUUUUACUUUAGCCUCACUAUUCAAAUAAAGUGCUCAAUUGAGGGCUGGAUUCAGACUGUA